AGUGAACGCUGGCGGUAGGCCUAACACAUGCAAGUCGAACGGCAGCACAGUAAGAGCUUGCUCUUACGGGUGGCGAGUGGCGGACGGGUGAGGAAUACAUCGGAAUCUACUUUUUCGUGGGGGAUAACGUAGGGAAACUUACGCUAAUACCGCAUACGAUCUACGGGUGAAAGCAGGGGAUCUUCGGACCUUGCGCGAUUGAAUUAGCCGAUGUCGGAUUAGCUAGUUGGCGGGGUAAAGGCCCACCAAGGCGACGAUCCGUAGCUGGUCUGAGAGGAUGGUCAGCCACACUGGAACUGAGACACGGUCCAGACUCCUACGGGAGGCAGCAGUGGGGAAUAUUGGGCAAUGGGCGCAAGCCUGAUCCAGCCAUACCGCGUGGGUGAAGAAGGCCUUCGGGUUGUAAAGCCCUUUUGUUGGGAAAGAAAAGCAGCAGGUUAAUACCCCGCUGUUCUGACGGUACCCAAAGAAUAAGCACCGGCUAACUUCGUG
This 492-nucleotide ribosomal RNA is filed under the name uncultured bacterium. RNAcentral describes it as "partial 16S ribosomal RNA". It matches the Rfam family "Bacterial small subunit ribosomal RNA", at positions 29 to 507 of the family's 1533-position model. The record is from RNAcentral.